UUUUGUCCUCUAAAUCUGUAUUAGGUGCCAAGCUGACUCAAACUUGGACCUGCUCCUGUCGUAUGAGAGGGAUGGAAGAGCCCUGCAUCUAGUUCUUGAGGACAGGUCACAGGCACAUGAAGAGGGAGCAAAAGCAGUUCUGUGCCAAACGAAAAAGGUCUCAACCCACGGCUUUCCAAGACACAGACAAGGAGACAGGCUGGAUGAGGAGGAGAGGACACAGUUCUGGGAUUUUGACUGCGACUCAGCCCAAGUGACCCUGGACUGAGUGGGACAGUUUGUAGCCUCCCGAGAGAGGUGACAGUGGCCCACUGACCUCCACAUCAUCCAAAGCUCUUCUGGAGUCCCGAGCCCUGUUUGGAGCAUCACACCGGAGAGGAACAUUAGCGCACUGGAACACACACAAGUGGCGGGUGAGGGGAGCAAGAAUGAAGGCAGCUCAAGAUGCUGAGAAGUCAGGAAGAGCUGUUUCCCGCUGUCAAGUCCUUGUGCUGUUGUAAAGUGAACUUAACACAGAAACUAUUUUGUUCUCAGUACUUUAGUGCACAAAGUGAGUAAAAAUUUUGCCAUCCGAUCAACUAGAGGCUGUACU
Molecule: long non-coding RNA, 592 nt
Filed under: Ursus thibetanus thibetanus
Lineage: Eukaryota; Metazoa; Chordata; Mammalia; Carnivora; Ursidae
Description: lncRNA (ENSUTTG00000009852.1)
Source: RNAcentral